GCGCCGGUGGCGGAAUUGGCAGACGCGCAGGGUUUAGGUCCCUGUGUCCAUUAGGAUGUGUGGGUUCAAGUCCCACCCGGCGCACAA
Molecule: transfer RNA, 87 nt
Filed under: Acidimicrobiaceae bacterium
Lineage: Bacteria; Bacillati; Actinomycetota; Acidimicrobiia; Acidimicrobiales; Acidimicrobiaceae
Description: tRNA-Leu
Rfam family: tRNA
About the family: Transfer RNA (tRNA) molecules are approximately 80 nucleotides in length. Their secondary structure includes four short double-helical elements and three loops (D, anti-codon, and T loops).
Source: RNAcentral